RNAcentral lists this ribosomal RNA (661 nucleotides) under uncultured Actinomycetes bacterium. RNAcentral describes it as "SSU rRNA". It matches the Rfam family "Bacterial small subunit ribosomal RNA", at positions 245 to 915 of the family's 1533-position model. Lineage: Bacteria; Bacillati; Actinomycetota; Actinomycetes. The record is from RNAcentral.
CUUGUUGGUGGGGUAACGGCCCACCAAGGCGACGACGGGUAGCUGGUCUGAGAGGACGGCCAGCCACACUGGGACUGAGACACGGCCCAGACUCCUACGGGAGGCAGCAGUGGGGAAUCUUGCGCUAAUGCGCGAAAGCGUGACGCAGCGACGCCGCGUGGGGGAUGAAGGCCCUCGGGUUGUAAACCCCUUUCGGCAGGGACGAAGGGAAACUGACGGUACCUGCAGAAGAAGUCCCGGCUAACUACGUGCCAGCAGCCGCGGUAACACGUAGGGGACGAGCGUUGUCCGGAUUCAUUGGGCGUAAAGCGCGCGUAGGCGGCUCGGAAAGUCGGGCGUGAAAUGCCGGGGCUCAACCCCGGGACUGCGUCCGAUACUUCCGAGCUGGAGGUAGGUAGGGGAGAUCGGAAUUCCUGGUGUAGCGGUGAAAUGCGCAGAUAUCAGGAGGAACACCGGUGGCGAAGGCGGAUCUCUGGGCCUUACCUGACGCUGAGGCGCGAAAGCUAGGGGAGCGAACAGGAUUAGAUACCCUGGUAGUCCUAGCCGUAAACGUUGGGUGCUAGGUGUGGGCGGACAUCGACCCCGUCCGUGCCGAAGCUAACGCAUUAAGCACCCCGCCUGGGGAGUACGGCCGCAAGGCUAAAACUCAAAGGAAUUGACG